UAAGGAAUAUUGGUCAAUGGACGAAAGUCUGAACCAGCCAUGCCGCGUGGAGGAUGAAGGCCUCUGGGUUGUAAACUUCUUUUAUAGGGGACGAAAAAGGGUCUUUCUAGAUCAACUGACGGUACCCUAGGAAUAAGCACCGGCUAACUCCGUGCCAGCAGCCGCGGUAAUACGGAGGGUGCAAGCGUUAUCCGGAUUCACUGGGUUUAAAGGGUGCGUAGGUGGGUUAGUAAGUCAGUGGUGAAAUCUUCGAGCUUACCUAGGAAACUGCCAUUGAUACUAUUAGUCUUGAAUAUUGUGGAGGUUAGCAGAAUAUGUCAUGUAGCGGUGAAAUGCUUAGAUAUGACAUAGAACAACAAUUGCGAAGGCAGCUGGCUACACAUAUAUUGACACUGAGGCACGAAAGCGUGGGGAUAAAACA
Molecule: ribosomal RNA, 421 nt
Filed under: uncultured bacterium
Lineage: Bacteria
Description: bacterial SSU rRNA
Rfam family: Bacterial small subunit ribosomal RNA
Source: RNAcentral